This 1759-nucleotide long non-coding RNA is filed under the name Homo sapiens (human). Its description in RNAcentral is "HSALNT0203376". The record is from RNAcentral. Lineage: Eukaryota; Metazoa; Chordata; Mammalia; Primates; Hominidae.
CAAAAUCAAUGGUAAAUGCUGCUACUUUUCAUUCUUCUAAAUGUGCCCUUGGGUAUUGCUAAAAUGUCAGUUACCAUUGAAAAUAAUAUUUUACAUUUGUCCAACUGAAAGGAUCAUCCAAAUUUUAACACAUUCGCUUUUUUAAAAAUAAGGUAUUUGCAGAUUUUGUUAUUUUAAAAUUCCCUGUACAGUGGAGAAAGCAGAUAUUCAAAAGGUUAAUUUUAACACUACUCAUUCAGUAAGUGGUAAAUGGAAAUUCAACCACAGUCCUUCUGAUUCAAUGUCCAUUAAAUACUCUGCUAAAUUCAGUGGUCUUUUGAAUGUAGCACAGUUUUACGACCUAUGAUGUGACUAAAUGAGAAAUCAGAGCCAUGAAACAUGAACAAAAAUCAAGAAGAACAGAAUCUGCAAUCAAUUUGGGAAAGAUGUUAAAAGUAAAAUAACUACUGAUGGAAGGAUUUGAAAUUGCUUUGAAAAAAUGGAAGCCAGCAUUUCUUAAUCAAUCUUGGGAUAGUUGGACACCUGAUUUAAAAGGACGACUGAUUGACUUCAGAAUCUGGAAAGGGAGAAAAAGAACAACAGCAACAACAACAAAAGCAGCCUCCUGCCUGAGAAGUCUCUUGUAAAUAAGAAGUGGAAAAGAACAGAAGAAAAGCAGGAAUGACAAGAUCAAGUUCCAAAAAGGCUUGAAUACAUGGGAAUUUAUUAUUAGCUACCUUGAUCUGCAAAAACAGAGAGGAUAUAUGCUUCCAGAAAGAGAAAAUGACUGAUUUUAUAAGAGGAAUUUAGCUGCUUGAGCUCAGUAUAUCACCUCCAUUUAUUCUCAGCAUGCCAUCAGCAAAUAGCUAUCUGUUCUCAAAGGAAGUAAUAACUUGAAAGUAAUCUUCAUAAACUUUUUUUAUGCUAUUCUAUGCUAUGUGAUGUAAAGGUACUUUAAAGGAAUAAGGUGGCAUGAGAAAAGAAUAUUUAGGGAUAUCAGAAAACUAUCCCAAGAAACGGAAAAUUGUCAAGAAAUAAUUCUAUAGAUUCUCAAAGAAACUAAUGGCAAGAUGGUUUUAUUAAAAAAAGAUGAAAGUAGAGCUACCAAGCAAAGAGAAUCUAGGAAACAAACAUAUAAAUGCAAUUUUAUUAACUUACAGCCAUUAUGAAGCCUCCACAAGAAAGAAAAAUACAACUGAAGCCUUGCUAGGAAAAUUGAAGUCAAUCUUGAAGGAAAUACAAAGGUAAAUGAAAGUAAAAUAAAUUAUCAAAUAUAAAUAUGAAAUAAGUCUAAAAGAGGGUAACUACAUGCACAAAACUUAUUCAAUCUUCUAUUCACUGUGCAUUUAUUGGACAACUAUUAUGUGUCAGUCAUUGUUCCCAGUACUUGAAUACAAAAAUUUCUGUUCUCAUAUUGCUUGCAGUGUAGUAGAGAAUGGAGUAUUCUAGGUUUGGAGAUGGGAGGAAUGGCUAACACUUGAGUUCUCAUGUGCCAGGAGCUAUUCUAAGAUUUGUACACAUAAUUUUCACAUAAACUCACAAAGCUGUAUAUUAUUGUUCCCACUUUACAAAUCAAGAAAGUGAAAUUCAAGAAAUUUAAGUAACCUGUCCAAGGUUAUAGAGACAGGAUUCAAAUCUAAAGCUAUCUGUUUCUGUUGUCCAAAUCCCUAGCCAUUAAUAUGAUACAGCACCCUUCUAAGAGCAGAAAGAAACAAAUGAAUAUGGGGCGACUGUUUAAUAAAAGAGUAAAGGAGAUUACAGAGAGGAAUGUAAAUAACAU